CCUCGACUUAUUAGCUGCGUGAGCUGUGAUCGAUUGAUCAGUAUCUGGAAGAAGUGAAGGAGUGAGAAUCUUGGAGAGCCAAGGUGUGAAGAAUCUUGGAGAGCUAAGGUGUGAGAAUCUUGGAGAGCUAAGCAGGCAUGAUUCAUACAUCCAGCUAGUAUGGCCUCAAAAGCUAUAAAAAGGAGGCCUUGCAGUGCUGACACUGAUAAAACAAGUGAAAAACAUAUGGAGACAACAAUACCAGAUUCCAUAACAGAGCCUCUUCUAGUAGAUACUCCUCAUAAAGAUAAAUCCAAGAGAUACAAAGCUACUACACGGUCAGAAUUCUGGGAUGGGAAAAGGCAGGAGUGCCUUCGUUGGGCACAUCUUCUAUCAACUUUUUUUGCUCAGUCUGCAAGAAAGAUACCAGUUCAUCAUGGAACUUUAAUCCGAGAAAUCAUGAAACCGUAAUCCAAGAAAAGCUAGAUGUUGUAGCCUUAUCCAAGGUAUAUGAAAGAAUGUACUCCUACUUGAAAGAUUCAUCUUUGGCCAAGUGUUUAUGAGUUAUAACUUGGGUGCUGCUGAUGAAUUCUAUUGCUGAGAACAUCUACUUUUCUCACAUUUAUCUCUUAGUGCUUUGGACAUCAUGGAACAAUGUAGGUUUUUUUUCUCGAACAAGUAGGAGAGAUACGUAUCUUUAUAUUAAAGAAAAAAGGAUAGUCCCAAAACACAAACUCUACCGAAAGUAUAGCACCAACCCACUCACACACCCCUGGGUACUAGAUUAACAUACAUGCCAGUUUUGAGAUUACAACAACCACUCUGGCUAGGAUCUAACCCAGCCACAAGGUACUCAACCGUUUCGCUCCAACUAAACACCAUAGCCGAGCCUCAUCAGCUAUGUCAAAGAGAACGUCUUGAACUCGUGGUGAGGCUCCAUUGAAACACAAGCGUUACGAUGUUUCCAUAUCCAUCAAGCUCCAAGGAUCACAAGAGAGUUGAAUCUUUUUCUUCACUGUUUAUCGAUCCUUAGAUGAGCUUGAUGCCACCAUCCCUCAAACACCAUAUGAUGGGGUUCAGGUGCGAAUUUCUGCAGCCCAACACGCCCUAACAGCUGAAACCACACCUCUAGAGCAAAGACACAAUUGGUGAGGAGAUGUUGCACUGUCUCGUCAUCUUGAUCACACAAGGGACAUAACGUAGGAUACGGUUAGCCUCGCCUCGCCAACUGAUCAGGUGUCCUACAACGAUUAUGAAUCUCCAGCCAAAUGAAAAAUUUACACAAUAGAGGCGCCCAGAUUCUCCAUACAUGUUUCCAUGGCUUGAAAUCAAUAGCACCAGUGAAUAAGGCUCUGUAGGCUGAUUUGGAAGAAAAAUCUCUUGAUCAUGUCCAUGUCCACAUGUGUAAAUCUUGCAUUUCUGGUUGUAGUGUGAUCCCUUCAAUGGCGUCCCACAGCUGCAAGUACUCUAUCAAAACAUCAGCAGAUAGGCAUCCCCUUAAUCAUGUUUCUAGAUGUUGAUAACAUGUUUAGUUUCUAAUUUUGUCCAGUAAAGAUUAUUGCUUAAUCAACUAUAACUAAAUAACUUGUUAAAGCAAUUCACUUGCUGAGAUUUUCGAAUCUCACAUUUGCUAUCUUUCCAAGUACAACUUGAGAUGAUAGCGAGCA
Molecule: long non-coding RNA, 1646 nt
Organism: Phragmites australis (common reed)
Lineage: Eukaryota; Viridiplantae; Streptophyta; Magnoliopsida; Poales; Poaceae
Exons: 3
Source: RefSeq, a predicted model, not a curated record